GCAGUGGUGGUUCAGUGGCAAAAUUCUCACCUUCCAUGAGGGAGGCCUGGGUUUGAUUCCCGGCCAAUGCA
This 71-nucleotide transfer RNA is filed under the name Loxodonta africana (African savanna elephant). It matches the Rfam family "tRNA". From Rfam's summary of the family: Transfer RNA (tRNA) molecules are approximately 80 nucleotides in length. Lineage: Eukaryota; Metazoa; Chordata; Mammalia; Proboscidea; Elephantidae. The record is from Rfam by way of RNAcentral.